RNAcentral lists this long non-coding RNA (1026 nucleotides) under Lathyrus oleraceus (garden pea). RNAcentral's name for it is "Pisum sativum (pea) long non-coding RNA (PSAT_LNC004258)". The record is from RNAcentral. Lineage: Eukaryota; Viridiplantae; Streptophyta; Magnoliopsida; Fabales; Fabaceae.
AAAUUGAGGGUGUGCAAAAAUCAACAUGGACCUAAAGUCCAAUUCAAACAUACUUAAAUCCUAAUUAAAAGGAAAUUAAAAAAAUAAGAAAAUAAAUUAAUAAAAUAAACAAGUGAAUGAUAGAAAAAUAAAUAAAUAAAUAAAUAAAAAUAAAAACGUGUUGCUUUAAAAUAGGGAACAUCGUCCCAUUUUCUUUAUAAAAGACUUUCAUAUACUUUUUUUUUAAAGUAACUAAUUGUAAGGUGAUAUGUGGCCAUGGAAUUUUAAAAAAAAAACAUCAACCCUCCCUUAUCAUCCCUCUUGUGUGGACCUCAUCAAUCUCUCUCACUGUUAAGUAACACUCUCUCUCUUGUAUGCUUCAAGUAUUUUCAAAAACAAAUUCACAUAGAUAAACAAAAUCAAAUGAAAAAAUCCAUGAUUCACAAGUAAAAAUAGAAAGCAUCAAGGAAUAUAAUAUGAAAAAUAGAGGAAAGAAUGAAGACAAGUAAAUCGACAAGAGACUCCGGUGAUGAUGGUCCAUUUGCAGCGAGUAGCGACUCCGGCUAAGGGAGUAUGUCGAAGUGUUGUUGCGUUUGAAGUUGUUGUGACUUGUUGUUUAUGUGUUUCUACAUGAAACCUUGUGAAGAAGUAACAUGAAGUUGAAAAUAAUGGAAAGAUGAAGUUUUCGGUUAUGAUUGUUAUGUGUAUAUGAGAGAAAAUGGAGGUUUUAUGUGGUUAGUGAAAGAAGUGAUAUGAAAAAGAAGGAAGAAAACUCCUUCAUUUUAUUCACUUCACAUGAAGAGGGUAAGGGAGACACGGGGUUGUUUUAAGUGUUUAGUUAGAAAAAGUGAAAGAAAAAGAGGUAUUACAUAGGAUUGUUCACUAUUAUGCAUCCGCCUUCCCUCAUGCAAUAUUUAGUUAAUACUCACUCCGUCUCUUAAAAAAUAUUUGAUUUGGACUAUGCGUGGUUCUUAAAAAAAAUUGAUUUUAAAGAUAAAAUUAUAUGUUUGUACUAAAAUACCCUUAUCAACUUUUUUAAUAUUCUCA